Molecule: ribosomal RNA, 260 nt
Filed under: uncultured soil bacterium
Lineage: Bacteria
Description: partial 16S ribosomal RNA
Rfam family: Bacterial small subunit ribosomal RNA
Source: RNAcentral
AGAACGAACGCUGGCGGCAUGCCUAAUACAUGCAAGCCGAACGAACUCUUCGGAGUUAGUGGCGCACGGGUGCGUAACGCGUGGGAAUCUGCCCCUUGGUUCGGAAUAACAGUUGGAAACGACUGCUAAUACCGGAUGAUGACGAAAGUCCAAAGAUUUAUCGCCAAGGGAUGAGCCCGCGUAGGAUUAGCUAGUUGGUAGAGGUAAAGGCUCACCAAGGCAACGAUCCUUAGCUAGGUCUGAGAGGAUGAUCAGCCACA